RNAcentral lists this long non-coding RNA (230 nucleotides) under Homo sapiens (human). RNAcentral's name for it is "HSALNT0224466". Lineage: Eukaryota; Metazoa; Chordata; Mammalia; Primates; Hominidae. The record is from RNAcentral.
CCGCGCCGGACUGAGGCUGUGCGCCCGAGACUCCGGGUCCCCAGGGGCUGCGCCGGGCCGGCCUGGCAAGGGGGACGAGUCAGUGGACACUCCAGGAAGAGCGGCCCCGCGGGGGGCGAUGACCGUGCGCUGACCCUGACUCACUCCAGCUGCCUCCUGAGCUCUUUAUAAACACUGGCAUUCUGGCUGAGAAAGACUCGCCAACAUCCAAGAGUGGCAAAGGGGAACAG